This 303-nucleotide ribosomal RNA is filed under the name uncultured bacterium. RNAcentral's name for it is "partial 16S ribosomal RNA". It matches the Rfam family "Bacterial small subunit ribosomal RNA", at positions 507 to 807 of the family's 1533-position model. The record is from RNAcentral.
AGCAGUAGCCGCGGGAAUACGUAGGGCGCAAGCGUUGUCCGGAAUUAUUGGGCGUAAAGAGCUCGUAGGCGGUCUGUCGCGUCUGGUGUGAAAUCCCGAGGCUCAACCUUGGGCUUGCAUCGGGUACGGGCAGACUAGAGUGCGGUAGGGGAGACUGGAAUUCCUGGUGUAGCGGUGGAAUGCGCAGAUAUCAGGAGGAACACCGAUGGCGAAGGCAGGUCUCUGGGCCGCAACUGACGCUGAGGAGCGAAAGCAUGGGGAGCGAACAGGAUUAGAUACCCCUGUAGUCCCUGUCUCUUAUAC